CGUCGUCGUCGUUGCCGUCGUCGUCAUCAUCAUCAUCGUUGUCAUCGUCAUCAUCGUUAUCGUCAUCGCCGUCAUCUUCGUAGAGUGCAUAAGACGAUUAAAUAGUCACAAAAAGGGACACCAAUAGAGCGUUUUAAAAGGAAAGUGCGAUUUGACAGAGAAACUGCUUGUCACCGAGAGCAAUAUAUUUAAGAAGAUAUGUUAUAACUUUUGAGCCAUUCGAUGGAUAGGAUAUGUGACUUCCAUUGACGAAAAUAUUGUAAGCGUUGUACUUAAAGAAGAACCCGGAGAUAGAUUUGAUCCCGACUACAUGGAGGAUAUAUGCUCUGGUACUUUCGAGAAGGUAUUUUUACCUAUCGAAAAUAACGAAGUGGAUUUUUCCAAUGAAAUGGUAAAAUUGGAGUUGGAAGGAGAAACAAGCGGACACCCAAACUGGACGGCACAGAUCACAGCGGCGAACCUUUGCGAGAAAGAAGAUGGUAUAUCGCAUAGGUGUUUAAGUGCAGCAGACUUUAUGCAAGCUCAAGACGCAGAGAAACAUCCUGUAUUUUGUGCAAACGGACAGCAGCCAAAAUUUUAUAAGAUUCAAUGUUCCAUGUGCAAGAAAUGGUUUCUUAACAACGAUUCCAUGGUCACGCAUUUAAGAACGCAUUGUAAUGGGAAUCAGUGCGAGGUUUGUCAUCAAAACUUUCAAGACAAUUCUAGCUUACAUGCGCACAUGUUAACACAUGUUGGCAUGAGUCCGUUGGAGUGCAAUGUUUGCCAGAAGAGAUUUGCUUAUAAGUGGUGUUUAAGAGAUCAUAUGCAAAUGCACUCGAUGGAUAAGCCAUACGACUGUGACACUAUGCAACAAGGAUUUAUGAAAAAGCCUGAAAAUAAUGAUGAGCAAUCAUUGAGUACGGGAGAAAGACCUUUCGAAUGCGACGUAUGCCAUAAUACUUUUAGAGAAAAAGGAAAUUUGAAUCGACAUAUGCUGAUUCACACUGGAGAGAGGCCCUACAAAUGCGAGAUAUGCUACGCCGCUUUUAGGGAAAAAGCUAAAUUAAAUAUACACAUGCCUAUACACACGGGUUUGAAGCAGUUUAAAUGUACAAUGUGUCAUAGAUCGUUUGCUCAAAAAACUGCUCUGAACAAUCAUAUGUUGGCACAUAGCGGAGAAAAGCCGCAUGCUUGUAAUAUUUGCGAAAAAACGUACAAAAGGAAAUCAGAAUUAAUCAGGCAUACGAUGGUUCAUACUGGUGAACGACCCUACGAAUGUAAAGAGUGCCUAAUGACGUUUCGGGAAAAAGCUAAAUUAAAUUCUCACAUGUUGGUUCAUACCGGCGAAAAACCUCACGAAUGUCAUAUAUGUCACAAAGCGUGCGCGCGUAAAUCCGAUUUGAAUAGUCAUAUGUUAUUGCAUACUGGCGGGCAAUAUGACUGCAAGGUAUGCGAUAAAAUUUUUACGCGAAAGUCUGAUCUGAACAGACACACUUUAAUACAUACUGGCGAAAAGCCGUUCGCGUGCGAUCUCUGUGAAAUGGCGUUUAGAGAAAAAACGAGAUUAAAUUCUCAUAUGUUGAUACAUACCGGCGAUAAGAGGCACGCAUGUCAUAUUUGUCAGAAAACUUUUAAAGAAAAGGCAUCCUUGAGGAAACACAUGUUAAGUCACACGGGAGAUAGGCCUUACGAGUGUUACGUCUGUCACAAAGCAUUUACGCAAAAAACUACUUUGACCAGUCACAUUUUGGUACAUGCUGGGGAAAGGCCUUAUGAUUGCAGUACUUGUCAAAAAGUUUUUAAAGAUAAAGCUGCGUUAAAGAAGCAUUUAUCGAUGCAUAUCAAUGAAAAAAAUCACGAAUGUUUGAUUUGCUUGAAAAAAUUUAGUCGUAAAGCCGCAUUGAACAUUCAUCUCUCGACCCAUCAUACAUCUUAAUCCGUAAAGAUCUAGUCCGAUUUUUCUUUACAUCGAGCGCACCGUAUGCUUGUAGACAUAUUACAUGCUCACCGGUCGUACAAUUAUAAAAAGACGUAUUUUCAUUUCCUUUCUUUUUUUCUUCUAUGUACCACAGAAAUAAAUUCAUUUUCAAUAGUAUUUUACGUUCAUUGCAUUGGAUAUCCAUAACAGAGAAUUAAGUAGACGAAUGAUAUAAUAUCUGCAUCUCUUUCUUUUUUUUCUUUACUUUAGACUAACCCUUUCUAAUUAACUAUAGUCGUUCUACAUCGAACUUUCACGCUUUACUAAUGACGAUUAUUUUCCAAUUAUUUGUUCACUUUGAUUAUCCUAAAAUACAUUUAGUUAUAAUGAAUUGUAACAUCCGCGUUAUAAUUAUUCGCUGAAGGAACAAUAUUUUAGUCUUCCGAUUGUUCCUACAGCGAAAUUGUAUUGAUGAAAGACAAAUUUGUAUUGGAAGGGUUAAUUAAUGAAUGAUAGCAAAGCCUUACAAUGCACAAUGCACGAUGCACGAUACAAGUUACGCGAUAGCAUUCAUCAAUAAUUUUACAUAUUUCUUUUCCAUUAAUUUCGAUUAUAAUGUAACGCGAUGUUUCUUUUUUUGUUCGAUUCGAUUAUUAUGUUUAUACAAUGCUAAUGCGUUAAUAAGAAAAUGCAAAAAAGUACAACUUAAUGUAUAUUAUAUGUAAAGUUAAAAUAACGAGUAUGCAAAUUACGAGAGUUAAGAUUAUUAUUAUUCAUUUCCUUGUAAUAAUGUCGUUAAAUUUUUGUCUUUUAUGCGCUUUUACGACAUACCUAAUUAGAAUUAAACUAUCAAGUUUUAUUACAUAUGUUGUUUGAUUUUGUAGUAGUUACAAUAUUUAUUCGGCAUAUUUGACUGUGAUUAGCCAUCUUUGCUCGAUGGUCCUUAAAAAAAGAAAACUUCUAUUCACGCGAUAACGACGAAAGUUUCCUUCUAUAAAAUGCAUACAGCGUAUAUAUAUUAUAUAUAUAUAUAUAUUAUCUUUAUAUAUAAACAAAAGAAAAGAAAACAAAAAAAUAAGAGACUGUGGCAAAAAUAUACUUUAUUCAUUCCUUCGUUUUCUGUACACGAUAAAUAUAAUAUAAAUAUAAGUGUUGAUAACUGUAUAAGAAAUAGUUUUAUCAACAAUCGUACGUUUUAUAAACUUAACUAAAAACGGAGCGUGAAUUUAACUUGUAAAAAAGAUCAAAGAAAGUAUAUUAUACAAAAUAUUGCGAUAGAUAUAUAUAUCUACAUGUAUAUCUACUCGACAAUUUGUUCCAUCUACGCUUCUCUCUGAAAGAUUAUUAUUUUUAAUAUACCUUCGAUAUAUAUAUAUAUAUAUGACGAACUAAUCAUUAUAUACUUGGCCAUAAAACGACUCAAAAGUUUCUCAAGGAACUUCUUUUAACGAGCCUCUUUGCUGUCACACAGUGCAACAAUUAUUUUUAUAAACGAGAAUGUCUGUGAUCACAGUUCUAUUUUUAAGCACUAAUAUUUUUAUACAUAUUUAUUUUCUAAUUGGCGUUCAUUUUUUUUUUUUAAUGCCAAUUUUCAAACUUCACUCGUCUCAUUUUUUUUUAUUUCAUAAGAAAUAAUCCAUUAAUUUGUCAUGCUAACUAUCGACAGUUUUUUUUCUAUUUUUCAAAAUUACCUACUAUUAUUAUUAUUAUUAUUUUGUUUUUGUUCAAACGUGAUAUCUAGAUGGCACUGUAAGACAGUCUUGGAGCAGCAUCGUGUAACACAGUAGCACUCGAUAAUAUUGCGUACUCUAAGAAGAGUACUCUAUCUUAUUGCUCGAGUCAGUCUAGGUUGUUUCCUUGGGGUGAACGAUGCAUUCGAGAAUGAAUCAAAGAACCCAUCAGUGUAUCAACGUAGAAAGGCGAGAAUUCAUCUGGUUGGCCUUUAAAGUUUAUUAUUUUUAAAUUGAGAAGAAAAAAUAUUGUGUAUUGAUGUGUAUUCAUAAUAGAAAUUCUUUCUUCUUUCACUCGUUAACCGUGUCAUCAACGAUCCAUCAACUAUCCGUUAUACUUAUGUUGCAUGCUCAAGGAUUAUACGAGUAAGUUUUAAAAGUGGGCAUGGGAUAACGAAAGUUACAGAGGAUGAAUUCUAUUAAGAGAAUAAAUGCAAAAAUCCCUCUGUGGAAGUAAGUGUUGCGUUUAUUCGUUUCCUCUUUUCCUCAUUCCUUUUUUUUAUUGAGUUUUUUUUAU
This 4144-nucleotide unclassified non-coding RNA is filed under the name Polistes dominula (European paper wasp). RNAcentral describes it as "putative fatty acyl-CoA reductase CG5065, transcript variant X7". Lineage: Eukaryota; Metazoa; Arthropoda; Insecta; Hymenoptera; Vespidae. The record is from RNAcentral.